UGGGGAAUUUUGCACAAUGGGGGAAACCCUGAUGCAGCGACGCCGCGUGAUUUAGAAGGCCUUCGGGUUGUAAAAAUCUUUUCUAUGGGAAGAAAAUGACAGUACCAUAGGAAUAAGGACCGGCUAAUUACGUGCCAGCAGCCGCGGUAAUACGUAAGGUCCGAGCGUUGUCCGGAAUCAUUGGGCGUAAAGGGUACGUAGGCGGGUAAGCAAGUUAGAAGUGAAAUCCUGUAGCUCAACUACAGUAAGCUUUUAAAACUGCUCAUCUUGAGAUAUGGAAGGGAAAGUGGAAUUCCUAGUGUAGCGGUGAAAUGCGCAGAUAUUAGGAGGAACACCGGUGGCGAAAGCGGCUCUCUGGUCUGUAACUGACGCUGAGGCUCGAAAGCGUGGGGAGCGAACAGG
Molecule: ribosomal RNA, 402 nt
Filed under: Bacteroidota bacterium
Lineage: Bacteria; Pseudomonadati; Bacteroidota
Description: Bacteroidetes bacterium partial 16S ribosomal RNA
Rfam family: Bacterial small subunit ribosomal RNA
Source: RNAcentral